GAAAUUAUUAGCUGAAAGAAAUCAUUUAAAGAGAGCAAAAGGUACAGAGGCAGGAACUAGUGCAUUCUUAAGAAACGGUAAGCAGCCCCGUUUGGCUGGAGUACAAGUUACGUAAAAGAAAGCAGUGGGUGAUAAAGGCUGGAAAUCUGGGUUGGGAUCAGGUCGUGGAGUGCCUCAAAUGCCUUGCAAAGGAAUAUGAAUGCCUUGGCUGGCAAUGGAGAAUCAUGAAGGUUCUGAACAGAGGAAUGAUGUAAUCAGAAUAGAGGUUUAAAAAGAUCAAUCUGGCAGUACGAUGUGGAACAGUUUGGAGGAAGCCGAGGAGUUACGAGACUGGGGGCAAUAAUAAGAAAACUGCUGAGCCACUGAUAAUCUGUGUGGCCACAUUCUUCCCCGUGGUUGCACACAUGAUGUGCAAGCCAACUCCCUUAAAAUCAAAGGGAUAAAAGAAUGCAGACUCCUAGAAUCGGCAAUCUAGACACCCCAGUGAGAAGGACACCUGACAGCGCACUUACUUCCCAGGUAAGGAAGGAAUGGGAUGGGAUCAAAUUUCUCAAACAAGAAGCCAACAGCUAACAUUACUCCAUGGUGAAAAGCUGAAAACCUGUUCUCUAAAAUCAGGCACAAGAUAAGGAUGCCCACUCUCACUGUUUCUUUUUGACACAGUAUUAGAAUUCCUAGCCACAGCAAUCAGAAAGCAUUUUUCCUGGCUCUGCCCUACAGCUGCAAAAUAUAAAAAUCCUCAGAUCUUAUCGAAAAAGUACACUGUUUGAUUUCUUCCUCAAGUUUGCACAGCAGCUUAAACAUACACAUGCCUUGUGGACAGAAGACUGUCUAAUAAAGAAUAUAAACUUUAUGCCUUGUUUUUUCAUACUGUCCCCUUUAUUUAGAAUGCCCUUCCUCUGACAUUUAUACCUGGCAAACUCC
Manis pentadactyla (Chinese pangolin) is the source of this 924-nucleotide long non-coding RNA. RefSeq lists it as uncharacterized. The record is from RefSeq and is a predicted model, not a curated record. The transcript has 4 exons. NCBI's taxonomy places the organism in Eukaryota, Metazoa, Chordata, Mammalia, Pholidota, Manidae.